CCGUAGCUCAACGGAUAGAGCAUCUGACUACGGAUCAGAAGGUUGGGGGUUCGAAUCCCU
This 60-nucleotide transfer RNA is filed under the name Corynebacterium aurimucosum. It matches the Rfam family "tRNA", at positions 7 to 62 of the family's 71-position model. Rfam says of the family: Transfer RNA (tRNA) molecules are approximately 80 nucleotides in length. The record is from RNAcentral. Lineage: Bacteria; Bacillati; Actinomycetota; Actinomycetes; Mycobacteriales; Corynebacteriaceae.